CCAAGAAUGAUCAGAUGAUGACCCAAAGCCAAGUUAUGUGUACACAAUCAUCAGCUGGGUCGCAAUUUAGUAUGGAUGAUGACUUGCUAUCUAAUCCGUUAAUCAUGCCACUAUCUGAUAUUCUGUAGCUUGAACAAAUUUCUUAUGUUGUAACUGUUGCAAAAAUAGAGAAGGUGAAUUCAACUAAAUUUGGUUGGUACUACUUGGCUUGCUACAAGUGUGGUAAGAUUGCUAAGGGUGACAACCCUCCAUACACUUGUGAGAAAGGCCACAAUACUGAGACAGAAAUUGUUAGGCACAAACUUGAGCUAGAUGUUUUGUAUGGAGAUACGAAGACUACACUUGUAUUUUGGGAUCGUGAAUCCACACAGUUACUAGGGAUUUCUGCUGCCCAACUUCGAAUUAACAUGAUUCAGGUUGGUAUUACAAGCUGACUAGAAUAUCCAAUGCUCAUGGAUAACAUAGGUGGAAAGACUAUGGCUUUUAAGAUCAAAUGGCAGCUAAAAUGGAAAAAAUAUCUGUCGUUUGCUGUAGAGAAGGAGAUGUUUUGGCUAAGUUGGUCAGUUCUAAAUUCCCCGAAGCUGUGGUAUGCCUUAAGUUUCUUUUCAAAUUAGUUUUAUGUCAUUACUUUCAUAGAUACACAUGUCUAACUGCAUUAUUAUAAUCCAUAUGCUAAUAUUAACAACUAUUGAGACCCUUGCCACAUCAUAAAUGUUGUUGUCUAAUUCACGAGAUCAACGACUUACAUGCUGAGUCAGCCGAUGAUGUUGAAAACACUUCUGACAGUCUUACCGUUACGGAAGAGGUCACCAUGUCUGUUGAUGUAUCUGCAACUGCUGAAUACAAUCCGGUCACAUUGAGCCAACUCACCCCAAUGAGUGAUAAGUCUCAAGGAAAGAUCAGCAAUGAUAUGUCUGAUGAUAAAUUCACGCCUUUGAAGAUGUCCAAACCAGUCCUGCCUACUACGACUGCGGCAUAUGAAGAGAUCAUUCCUGCCAAGCAGUCUUCGUCGAAGAGGGUUAAGGUUAUCAAGACUGAAAAGAAGUGAAAUAUGAUCUCUGUUCAUCAUGUUUUAACAAUAUUCCUGAUUAGUCUCUUUAUGCAACCGUUCCACAUAAUGUUGCGAAUUGCUUCCGGCACAACUGAUUGAUCAAAACGUUCUUUAUUGAUCUACCACAA
This is a long non-coding RNA of Medicago truncatula (barrel medic), 1179 nucleotides long. RefSeq lists it as uncharacterized. The transcript is spliced from 5 exons. The record is from RefSeq and is a predicted model, not a curated record. Lineage: Eukaryota; Viridiplantae; Streptophyta; Magnoliopsida; Fabales; Fabaceae.